Long non-coding RNA from Salarias fasciatus (jewelled blenny), 233 nucleotides. RefSeq lists it as uncharacterized. The transcript has 3 exons. The record is from RefSeq and is a predicted model, not a curated record. Lineage: Eukaryota; Metazoa; Chordata; Actinopteri; Blenniiformes; Blenniidae.
GUCCGUGUCUUGCCUGUCACUCGGUUGUCGUUCAUUAUUUCCACUGGGACCCAAAAUUCCGCCACACAAACUAUUUCAAAGUGGAGGAUGGAUCUUCAGUGUUGACACAGUUUCUCCUCUAAUGAAGGGACACCCUAAACUCCAAGCAGCAGUGUCCCCUGGAGACAGGCGUCCCCUUUUUAGAGGUGAAUGCUAUGAGCAGGGCCGUUUCUAGCUUCAUGGGGGCCCUAGGC